GGCCCAAUGGUCUAGUAGUAUGAUUCUCGCUUUGGGUGCGAGAGGUCCGGGGUUCAAUUCCCCGUUGGGCCC
Entophlyctis luteolus is the source of this 72-nucleotide non-coding RNA. NCBI's taxonomy places the organism in Eukaryota, Fungi, Chytridiomycota, Chytridiomycetes, Chytridiales, Chytriomycetaceae. The record is from the annotation of a GenBank genome assembly.